Molecule: RNA transcript, 918 nt
Organism: Nomascus leucogenys (northern white-cheeked gibbon)
Lineage: Eukaryota; Metazoa; Chordata; Mammalia; Primates; Hylobatidae
Gene name: protein RCC2 pseudogene
Exons: 3
Source: RefSeq, a predicted model, not a curated record
AUGGAGGAAAAAGAUCUGAAGACAGAAAGGUCAAGAACCCACCAGCCAGUAACAGUUGUGUAAGACGUGGCCUGUGAUGCUAACCACACAUUGAUUCUGGACUCCAAGAAAUGAGUCUUCUCCUGGGGCUUUGGUGGCUAUGGUUGGCUGGGCCACUCGGAGCAGAACGAUGAAAUGGUCCCCGCUUGGUGAAGUUGGAGUCUGACUUCCUUGGGUGUGGGGCAUCCCAGAUCCAUGUUGGUUACACCUGCUCCUUUGCUGUCUGUGAAGUUGGUAGUCUCUUUUUCUGGGGAGCCCAAUAUCUCCCGUGAAUCUUCCAUGUACCUGAAAGCAGUGCAGGACCUCUGCAGCUUCAGAAUCCGGAGCCUGGCUUGUGGGAAGAGCAGCAUCAUUGUGGCCGCCAAUGAGAGCACCAUCAGCUGGGGGCCAUAACCAACAUUUAGGUAAUUGGGAUACAGGGACCAUGAGCCCGAGUCUUCCACUGCAGCCCAAGAGGUGAAGACUCUGGAUGGCAUCUUUUCAAAGCAGGUCUCCAUAAGCUACUCACACUCCUUGGUGAUAGCGCAAGAUGAAAGUGAGACCAGGAAAGAGAAGAUCAAGAAACUGCUAGAGCCAGUCUGUGAGAACACGAGUGUAGGCCCUGAAAACCUCCUGCCUGUGGCCUCUGUUUGGUCCUCCUGGACUUCCUGUAGGACCCUCGCCUGCAGUAACCAACAUCCUCACUGUGAACCUUUAUCUGUCCUUGGAGGGCGUCCAAAACCUAUUCACAUCCGCUUGAUUCUGUAUGCUAGCUCAUCCAGGCAGCCUGAGUCCAUGGCUAUUCAAGACCAGGAGUUAAAAUUGAAUUGGCUGCCCAAGAAUGAUUUACUGGAGGCUUCUGGAAAUGUCUCCCACAACUGGAUUAACUAUUUUGAUUAA